This 472-nucleotide ribosomal RNA is filed under the name uncultured bacterium. RNAcentral describes it as "partial 16S ribosomal RNA". It matches the Rfam family "Bacterial small subunit ribosomal RNA", at positions 28 to 507 of the family's 1533-position model. The record is from RNAcentral.
GACGAACGCUGGCGGCGUGCUUAACACAUGCAAGUCGAACGCUGAAGCUUGGUGCUUGCACUGGGUGGAUGAGUGGCGAACGGGUGAGUAAUACGUGAGUAACCUGCCCUUGACUCUGGGAUAAGCCUGGGAAACUGGGUCUAAUACUGGAUACGACAUGUCACCGCAUGGUGGUGUGUGGAAAGGGUUUUACUGGUUUUGGAUGGGCUCACGGCCUAUCAGCUUGUUGGUGGGGUAAUGGCUCACCAAGGCGACGACGGGUAGCCGGCCUGAGAGGGUGACCGGCCACACUGGGACUGAGACACGGCCCAGACGCCUACGGGAGGCAGCAGUGGGGAAUAUUGCACAAUGGGCGGAAGCCUGAUGCAGCGACGCCGCGUGAGGGAUGACGGCCUUCGGGUUGUAAACCUCUUUCAGCACGGAAGAAGCGAAAGUGACGGUACGUGCAGAAGAAGCGCCGGCUAACUACGUG